This 225-nucleotide ribosomal RNA is filed under the name uncultured bacterium. RNAcentral's name for it is "partial 16S ribosomal RNA". It matches the Rfam family "Bacterial small subunit ribosomal RNA", at positions 96 to 334 of the family's 1533-position model. The record is from RNAcentral.
UGGCGUACGGGUGAGUAACACGUGGGUAAUCUACCUCUUUAGUGGGGAAUAACUCUGGGAAACCGGAGCUAAUACCGCAUAAGCCUGGAAAGGGAAAGCAGCAAUGCGCUGAGAGAGGAGUCCGCGGCCGAUUAGCUAGUUGGCAGGGUAAAAGCCUACCAAGGCAUUGAUCGGUAGCCGGCCUGAGAGGGCACACGGCCACACUGGCACUGAAACACGGGCCAG